Long non-coding RNA from Athalia rosae (coleseed sawfly), 307 nucleotides. RefSeq lists it as uncharacterized. The transcript is spliced from 2 exons. NCBI's taxonomy places the organism in Eukaryota, Metazoa, Arthropoda, Insecta, Hymenoptera, Athaliidae. The record is from RefSeq and is a predicted model, not a curated record.
AAUAGCAAUGGAUUAGUACGCGGUCACUACAGCGCCAUAUACUUGGUUGACAAUGAAUCCAGUGCCCAGUUUUGAUUGAGCAGUGACUCGGGAAGUAGUGUUCCGUUUGAUCUACAUAUUUUGAAAAAGUGCUUGACAAACGGUAGCUACUGAAAGACCUAUAUCAUUGGAAAUUUCGUGGAUUCCGUAACUCGGAGAUUUUUCCAUCAGCACUGAUUCGUACUUGACAGAGGUCGAAGAUGCCUAGUUCUCCGCAAUACGGUUCGACUUUCAACUACUAUACCUACGUUGUGCUGAAGAAUUCGUA